Vombatus ursinus (common wombat) is the source of this 105-nucleotide small nuclear RNA. The record is from Ensembl. NCBI's taxonomy places the organism in Eukaryota, Metazoa, Chordata, Mammalia, Diprotodontia, Vombatidae.
AUCCACUUUGGCAGCAUGUAUACUAAAAUUGAAGUGAUACAGAGAAGAUCAGCAUGGUUCCUGUGCAAGAAUAACAUGCAAAUUUGAGAAGAACUCCAUAUUUUU